CAGAGUGCCUUCUGCCAUCUCCCUGCAGAAGCUCAGUCUGUUUGUCCCCUUGGCUACCUCCAUGUCUGCACACAUGGCUGGAGGGAGCUGCCAGCACUAUCCAGCACUCACCUAUCUGCUGGGCCCUCCCUCUGAGCUGAUGAUGGCUGUCUCUGAAUCCUGCUCACUGAGUACGGGCUGUGGUCUGUGUUCUGAGGAUGGGCUGCAGAUAUCUCAGUCAGCGGUGGGCAUCUCUUGCGCUCAGGGUUGUAAAGUCCCAAAUAAGACCACAUGCAACUCAAGCGAGAUGAGUCAUUUAGUAUUACACGAUCUGGACAGAAUGGGGCUGUUGAAAAGGCAGGUCUCAGGCAUUGUCAAAUGUGGGCUUUUCUCUGGAGGCAUCUGUACAUUGGCACAGAGGAAGAAGAGUUCCUGUGUAUAAGAGCCAGGACUGACUAAUGUAGAAGAAAUUAAUUUGAAUACUCAAUAUGAGAUUAGUAGUGCUCACCAGCUGUGGUGAGGUAUCGA
Molecule: long non-coding RNA, 507 nt
Filed under: Rattus norvegicus (Norway rat)
Lineage: Eukaryota; Metazoa; Chordata; Mammalia; Rodentia; Muridae
Description: long non-coding RNA NONRATT019116
Source: RNAcentral